Molecule: ribosomal RNA, 485 nt
Filed under: Phelsuma guttata
Lineage: Eukaryota; Metazoa; Chordata; Lepidosauria; Squamata; Gekkonidae
Description: partial 16S ribosomal RNA
Rfam family: Bacterial large subunit ribosomal RNA
Source: RNAcentral
UUUUAACGGCCGCGGUAUCCUAACCGUGCAAAGGUAGCAUAAUCACUUGUUCCUUAAUUAGGGACUUGUAUGAACGGUUAAAUGAGGGCAAAACUGUCUCCUACAGUUAAUCAAUGAACUUGAUCAUACAGUACAAAUGCUGUAAUUUACUUAUAAGACGAGAAGACCCUGUGGAGCUUUAAACUUCUACAUUAAAUAAAAACUAUAAUAUAAUGUAAAAUUUUAAGUUGGGGCGACUGUGGAGUAAAAAAAAACCUCCAUGAAACUCGACUAACCCUCGUCAUAAAAGGCCAACAAGCCUAACAAAAACGUUUGACCCAAUCAUAUUGAAUACCGAACCAAGUUACCCCAGGGAUAACAGCGCCAUCCCCUUAAAGAGUUCACAUCGCCAAGGGGGUUUACGACCUCGAUGUUGGAUCAAGACUUCCCGGUGGUGUAGCCGCUACCAAAGGUUCGUUUGUUCAACGAAUAAUGUCUUACGUGAU